Molecule: ribosomal RNA, 501 nt
Filed under: uncultured bacterium
Lineage: Bacteria
Description: partial 16S ribosomal RNA
Rfam family: Bacterial small subunit ribosomal RNA
Source: RNAcentral
AUUGAACGCUGGCGGCAUGCCUUACACAUGCAAGUCGAACGGCAGCACGGGUGCUUGCACCUGGUGGCGAGUGGCGAACGGGUGAGUAAUACAUCGGAACGUACCUUAUCGUGGGGGAUAACGCAGCGAAAGCUGUGCUAAUACCGCAUACGCCCUGAGGGGGAAAGCGGGGGAUCGAAAGACCUCGCGCGAUUAGAGCGGCCGAUGCCUGAUUAGCUUGUUGGUGGGGUAAAAGCCCACCAAGGCGACGAUCAGUAGCUGGUCUGAGAGGACGAUCAGCCACACUGGGACUGAGACACGGCCCAGACUCCGACGGGAGGCAGCAGUGGGGAAUUUUGGACAAUGGGGGCAACCCUGAUCCAGCAAUGCCGCGUGAGUGAAGAAGGCCUUCGGGUUGUAAAGCUCUUUUGUCAGGGAAGAAACACCGGCUCUAACACAGUCCGGGAAUGACGGUACCUGAAGAAUAAGCACCGGCUAACUACGUGCCAGCCGCCGUAACAC